ACCAAAUAGAUACCCCGGUAGUCCACGCCGUAAACGAUGAGUGCUAAGUGUUAGAGGGUUUCCGCCCUUUAGUGCUGCAGCUAAACGCAUUAAGCACUCCGCCUGGGGAGUACGGCCGCAAGGCUGAAACUCAAAGGAAUUGACGGGGGCCCGCACAAGCGGUGGAGCAUGUGGUUUAAUUCGAAGCAACGCGAAGAACCUUACCAGGUCUUGACAUCCUCUGACACUCCUAGAGAUAGGACGUUCCCCUUCGGGGGACAGAGUGACAGGUGGUGCAUGGUUGUCGUCAGCUCGUGUCGUGAGAUGUUGGGUUAAGUCCCGCAACGAGCGCAACCCUUGUUCUUAGUUGCCAGCAUUCAGUUGGGCACUCUAAGGAGACUGCCGGUGACAAACCGGAGGAAGGUGGGGAUGACGUCAAAUCAUCAUGCCCCUUAUGACCUGGGCUACACACGUGCUACAAUGGAUGGUACAAAGGGCAGCAAAGCCGCGAGGCCUAGCCAAUCCCAU
Molecule: ribosomal RNA, 507 nt
Filed under: uncultured bacterium
Lineage: Bacteria
Description: bacterial SSU rRNA
Rfam family: Bacterial small subunit ribosomal RNA
Source: RNAcentral